This 1330-nucleotide long non-coding RNA is filed under the name Lynx pardinus (Iberian lynx). The record is from RNAcentral. Lineage: Eukaryota; Metazoa; Chordata; Mammalia; Carnivora; Felidae.
AAUUUGGACCUCUGACCGACGUGCAAACUGGUCGGAGGGCCGCGGCACCCAGGCAGCCCGAGUCGGCCGCGUUUUUACGGUCCUUUAUGGACUCUGGGCUUCCGUGCCUGGAUGCGCCUUACACCCCGCCGGCCACAAACUGCCCCGACCCGCGUUUGAUCUCGCCCACGCCGGGGGGAAGGUGUCUUCCCCAAGCAGUUGAAGCAGUACCACAAAACUCUGGGGGGUUGGGGUGCGCUUUGAACCCCCCUCAAGCCCAGGGCUUGCGUCUCCCUCCUCCCGAAAAGCACAGCUGUCACCCUCAGUCCCGCCAAUGCCAGAGCACAGAAGGAGACCCCAGCCAGGGCGCAGAUAGCUGGGGAGAGCUGCUCAGGUGGGUCCCCCCAGCCACCCUGCCCUGGGGGAAAGGAGUGUCUUCCUCCCCUCUGGAGCUGAAGUGGAAGGUGGGCGCGGUGGGAGGCCCGGGAAGAGAAGGGGGCGCGAUGGCUACCUUUGCUGUGCUGGUACUCGGCGUUCGCCGUGGCGCAGUCCGGGGUGCAGCUCACCUCGAUUUCUUCAUAGAAAUCCGACUCGGUGUCCGAGCUGCUAGGUUGCCCCUGGCCCGAGAGGCUGUCGGCAGAGGGGGCCGGAGGUCCGGGGCCAAGCACCGCAGCCCCGGCUGCCCGCGACUCGGCGCCCGGCCCGGGAGCGCUGCCUGCUAGUCCGUCGACCGGCUCCUCCUCCAGGCCUGCCCCGCCGCGCUCCCGGGCGGCCGGAGGACCGGCCCGCGGGCUCAGGCAACCACGGGGCACCAUCUUCUCGGGCGGCUCGGGCAGCGGGCUGCCCACGGCUUCCGACAAAUUGGAAACUCUCUUGCCAACCAGAGUACCAAGCUGACCCGCAUCCAGAAACAUAACCAUGUCCUUUCGGCUCUCCAUCCCGGGGCUCGCCGGAGGGGGUGGGGGAGGGAGUAAGCCCCAAGUGAGCUCCUAGCCCCCGUCUCCCUGGGUCCCCAGCGGUCCGACAGAUCUUGGCUUCGGGAGGCAGAAAGAGAGGCCAGGCGACCGGGCGGGCGCGGAGCGGCCGGAGCGCGAUGUCGACGGUGACGGCGGUGGCGGCGGUGGGGAGCUGGGGUCACCUUGUGAUGCGAGCGCUCCUCUGUGCCGCACCGCCUCUGGGAGGAAGCCCCAUUGCCCUCUUCUUUCUAAGCUGUCAUCCUCCUGCUGCAAUCGUCAUUACAGUACCGCUGGUGACGCCACUCGGCGAGCGCAAGUGGAUAAAUAGAAACGUCUGCCACAGCGAAGAUGAAAGGAGACCCGCAGCUAAUGGCUCGGCAGUGAUGCGCCAGGUG